This 294-nucleotide long non-coding RNA is filed under the name Nicotiana benthamiana. RNAcentral's name for it is "long non-coding RNA (NBEN_LNC001693)". Lineage: Eukaryota; Viridiplantae; Streptophyta; Magnoliopsida; Solanales; Solanaceae. The record is from RNAcentral.
CAGAAAGGAAGAAAGCCGCAUAUAUUUACAAUAUCUACAAGGGGUUACCCCCAGUUACAUUGGCCCAGGGCCGACAAAAAAAAAUAUAGCCAAAUGGCAACAAAAAAUAGAAGAGAAAAAGAGAAUGAAAACUAAACAAAUAUUACAAACUUUUUCUCUGUUCACUCGGUCAGCACCCUCGGCGCCAUCAUCAUCUCCGGGCGUGGUUGGGUCGAAAUCGUAGUCGAGGCGAGCAUCACGAGCCUUUUGGCGUGCUUCCUCAUAGGUGGCCUCAGGCACAACGCCGGCUUCCCA